This 459-nucleotide ribosomal RNA is filed under the name uncultured bacterium. Its description in RNAcentral is "partial 16S ribosomal RNA". It matches the Rfam family "Bacterial small subunit ribosomal RNA", at positions 338 to 795 of the family's 1533-position model. The record is from RNAcentral.
CCUACGGGAGGCAGCAGUGAGGAAUAUUGGUCAAUGGGCGCGAGCCUGAACCAGCCAAGUCGCGUGAGGGAAGACGGUCCUAUGGAUUGUAAACCUCUUUUGUCGGGGAGCAAAAGACGCCACGCGUGGCGUUCCGAGAGUACCCGAAGAAAAAGCAUCGGCUAACUCCGUGCCAGCAGCCGCGGUAAUACGGAGGAUGCGAGCGUUAUCCGGAUUUAUUGGGUUUAAAGGGUGCGCAGGCGGAGGAUCAAGUCAGCGGUAAAAUUGAGGGGCUCAACCUCUUCGAGCCGUUGAAACUGGUUGUCUUGAGUGAGUGAGAGGUAUGCGGAAUGCGUGGUGUAGCGGUGAAAUGCAUAGAUAUCACGCAGAACUCCGAUUGCGAAGGCAGCAUACCGGCGCUCAACUGACGCUGAGGCACGAAAGUGUGGGUAUCGAACAGGAUUAGAUACCCUUGUAGUC